GUAGUCAUAUGCUUGUCUCAAAGAUUAAGCCAUGCAUGUCUAAGUAUAAGCAAUUAUACCGCGAAACUGCGAAUGGCUCAUUAAAUCAGUUAUCGUUUAUUUGAUGGUACCUUACUACUUGGAUAACCGUGGUAAUUCUAGAGCUAAUACAUGCUGAAAACCCCGACUUCGGGAGGGGUGUAUUUAUUAGAUAAAAAACCAACGCCCUUCGGGGCUCUUUGGUGAUUCAUGAUAACUUCUCAGAUCGCAUGGCCUUGCGCCGGCGACGGUUCAUUCAAAUUUCUGCCCUAUCAACUUUCGAUGGUAAGGUAGUGGCUUACCAUGGUUUCAACGGGUAACGGGGAAU
This 346-nucleotide ribosomal RNA is filed under the name uncultured fungus. RNAcentral describes it as "SSU rRNA". It matches the Rfam family "Eukaryotic small subunit ribosomal RNA", at positions 20 to 370 of the family's 1831-position model. Lineage: Eukaryota; Fungi. The record is from RNAcentral.